AACGAACGCUGGCGGCGUGGAUUAGGCAUGCAAGUCGAACGGGAUUCUUUGGGUAGCAAUAUCACGAGAGUUCAGUGGCGAAAGGGUGAGUAACACGUGGGCAAUCUACCUCAAAGUUGGGAAUAACCCGGGGAAACCUGGGAUAAUUCCGAAUGUGGUCGCCUCCGGCAUCGGAGGCUGUCUAAAGUCGGGGACCGCAAGGCCUGACGCUAUGAGAUGAGCCCGCGUCCUAUCAGCUUGUUGGUGAGGUAACGGCUCACCAAGGCUUACGGGUAGCUGGUCUGAGAGGACGAUCAGCCACACUGGGACUGAGACACUGCCCAGACUCCUACGGGAGGCUGCAGUCGAGAAUCAUUCGCAAUGGGCGCAAGCCUGACGAUGCGACGCCGCGUGCAGGAUGAAGGCCUUCGGGUUGUAAACUGCUGUGAUGGGGGAGCAAUGAGCGAAGUGUUAAUAACACUGCGCAGUGAUAGUACCCCAAGAGGAAGCCACGGCUAACUCUGUG
This 505-nucleotide ribosomal RNA is filed under the name uncultured organism. Its description in RNAcentral is "bacterial SSU rRNA". It matches the Rfam family "Bacterial small subunit ribosomal RNA", at positions 29 to 507 of the family's 1533-position model. The record is from RNAcentral.